UACGAAGGGUGCAAGCGUUACUCGGAAUCACUGGGCGUAAAGCGUGCGUAGGCGGUUCGUUAAGUCUGUUGUGAAAGCCCUGGGCUCAACCUGGGAACUGCAGUGGAUACUGGCGAGCUAGAGUACGGUAGAGGAAGGUGGAAUUCCCGGUGUAGCGGUGAAAUGCGUAGAGAUCGGGAGGAACACCAGUGGCGAAGGCGGCCUUCUGGACCAGUACUGACGCUGAGGCACGAAAGCGUGGGGAGCAAACAGG
Molecule: ribosomal RNA, 253 nt
Filed under: uncultured bacterium
Lineage: Bacteria
Description: partial 16S ribosomal RNA
Rfam family: Bacterial small subunit ribosomal RNA
Source: RNAcentral